UCAACAAUGACUUAAAGCAUCAUCUGAAAUCAGAUUUAGACAUUGCCCGGUUCUUUCAGCACUUCGAAAGAGCUGUCAAAGUAAAAAGAGAUGUUGAGGUCAAUUCAGAGUUUGAUUCCAGGAAGUACUUACCAAGAAUCAAAAUGAAGACCCCAAUGUUGAUGCAAGUCGGCACACUUUAUACUCCUGCUAUAUUUGAUUUUUUUCAAAAGGAAUACCAGAGAUCUAUAUCAGCAUGCGCCGAAGCACUAGAUGGACAAUACAAAUACAUGGUUAAAAUUGGAUAUCCUUUUGAGCAUCCAAUAUUUGAAGAAGAAUGGGAAGUUACUGGUAACCCUGUGGAACAAACAUCAUCAUGCAGUUGUGGUCAGUUUGAUAGACUAGGAAUAUUGUGUGCGCAUGCUUUAAAAGUUCUUGACUUGAUGAACAUUAAGUUGCUUCCAUCACACUAUAUUUUGAAGCGAUGGACUCGAGAAGCACGAGCAGGAUCUGUUAAGGAUAGUCAUGGAAGGAUUGUGAUUGCAGAUCCAAAUAUAGAGGCAGUGCUCCACCACAAUGGCCUAUCGCACAAAUUUAAUAACUUGGCAACUGAAGCAUCACAUUCUGAAGAAUGUUGUAUUUUGAUCGACAAUACACUUGAUAACCUUAGUAAGAAAGUGAAACAACGGUUGUUGAAUGCAGAAGUGCCUUCGCCAGCAUCAGACGAUUUGUUCAAUGCCAAAGUGACUCCUCCAGCAACAACUGAUUUGUUGGCUGCUGCGUGCCUAAAAAAGAAGGAAGUUAACAAGGCAGACAAAAAAUCCAAAAGACGGAAAGAUUGGACUGAAAGGCAAUACAAAAGAAAGAAGAUAGGACCAGCCACAACUACCGCACCACCCUUAUCCAAGGUACCAUUGACACAUUGUACCAUUCAAAUGUAGUUUACUCAAGUACUAAUAUUCAAACUAUCACUUGCAACAGAUAACAAAGCGGAAAAAACGGAGUUCAAGACAAAAGAAAAUCAUUCAACGGUGCAAAAUCUGAAUGAGGAAGACUUGCGAGGAUAUGAGCACAUUACAAACUUCACUGAACUACUGAAUAUGCCUAGUACGAGAGCCUGCACUGGAGGCAUAUAUCCUAAGAAUAUAUUCUAAUUAUGAUGCUUUGGAGAACAUCAGAAAAUCAUUAUUUUGUUGAACUUCUGUAGACUUUCAAUUGUUGAACUUUUGUAGACCUUCAAGUUGUACGAAAAAUAUGAAACUUGUAAUUUUGUUCAACUAAUUUUGUUUCUGGAAGAUCCUUUUUUUACUUCCUAGAUACAUGAGCUCCUCCAUGGAUCAAAUCAAAAUCACCCACGAUCUCAAAUCAAACUUGGUGUACACAUUUCUUCAUUGAGGAAAUCACAUGCAGUGAUACAAACAAAAGAUAUAGGAGUGUUCUGUUCCUGUGAUACUGAAUAAGUGAUACAGACAACAAAUAUAAGAUUGAGGAAAAUUCAGAAGCACCUCAUUGUCCAACAA
RNAcentral lists this long non-coding RNA (1499 nucleotides) under Triticum aestivum (bread wheat). RNAcentral describes it as "long non-coding RNA (TAES_LNC012541)". Lineage: Eukaryota; Viridiplantae; Streptophyta; Magnoliopsida; Poales; Poaceae. The record is from RNAcentral.